This 8598-nucleotide long non-coding RNA is filed under the name Triticum aestivum (bread wheat). RNAcentral describes it as "long non-coding RNA (TAES_LNC025461)". The record is from RNAcentral. Lineage: Eukaryota; Viridiplantae; Streptophyta; Magnoliopsida; Poales; Poaceae.
AACACAACUCUAAAAAUAAAAUAAGUCAUACAAGCAUCAUAUUACAAGUCAGGGGCCUCGAGGGCUCGAAUACAAGAGCUCGAUCAUAGACGAGUCAAUGGAAGCAACAAUAUCUGAGUAUAGACAUAAGUUAAACAAGUUUGCCUUAAGAAGGCUAGCACAAACUGGGAUACAUAUCGAAAGAGGUGCAGGCCUCCUGCUUGGGAUCCUCCUAAACUACUCCUGGUCGUCGUCAGCGGCCUGCACGUAGUAGUAGGCACCUCCAGUGCAGUAGGAGUCAUCAUCGACGGUGGCAUCUGGCUCCUGGACUCCAUCGUCUGGUCGCAACAAUCGGGUAUAGAAAGGGGAAAAGGGGGGAGAAAAGCAACCGUGAGUACUCAUCCAAAGUACACGCAAGCAAGGAGCUACACUACAUAUGUAUGCAUUGGUAUCAAAUGGAGAAGGGUAGCAUAUGUGGACUGAACUGCAGAAUGCCAGAAUAAGAGGGGGAUAGCUAGUCCUAUCGAAGACUACAUUUCUGGCAGCCUCCAUCUUGAAGCAGUAGAAGAGAGUAGAUGGUAAGUUCACCAUGUAUCAUCGCAUAGCAUAUUCCUACCCGGCGAUCCUCCCCUCGUCGCCAUGUUAGAGAGCGAUCACCGGGUUGUAUCUGGCACUUGGAAGGGUGUGUUUUAUUAAGUAUCCGGUUCUAGUUGUCAUAAGGUCAAGGUACAACUCUGGGUCGUCCUUUUACCGAGGGACACGGCUAUUCGAAUAGAUAAACUUCCCUGCAGGGGUGCACCACAUUUCCCAACAUGCUCGAUCCCCUUUGGCCGGACACACUUUACUGGGUCAUGCCCGGCCUCGAAAAAUCAACACGUCGCAGCCCCACCUAGGCACAACAGAGAGGUCAGCAUGCCGGUCUAAAUCCUAUGGCUCAGGGGUCUGGGCCCAUCGCCCAUUGCACACCUGCAUGUUGCGAGGGCGGCCGGAAGCAGACCUAGCCCCCUUAAUACAAGAGCAGGCUUGCGGUCCAAUCCGGCGCGCGCCGCUUGGUCGCUGACGUCACGAAGGCCUCGGCUGAUACCACGACGUCAAGUGUCCAUAACUGUUCCCGCGUACUUGGUUAGUGCGUACAGGCCAGUGGCCAGACUCAGAUUAAAUACCAAGAUCUCGUUAAGCGUGUUAUUUUGAAAUAACCGCGGACGCCGACCAGGGCCAGGCCCACCUCUCUCCUAGGUGGUCUCAACCUACCAUGUCGCUCCGCCACAAAGAUCCACUCAGAGGGCCGUCGGGACAAAUGUCCUUUCGGACACAAUUCGGGAAUCACUCAUGGGUACUCUUCGAGCCGACCCGUCUUUAGUCACCACAAGUAUCAUAUAUUAUGUAUAAGUAUAUACCCGUGAUCACCUCCCGAGUGAUCACGGCCCGAUAGUAUAGCAUGGCAGACAGACAAGAAUGUAGGGCCACUGAUGAUAAACUAGCAUCCUAUACUAAGCAUUUAGGAUUGCACGUAAGGUAUCAAUAACUGUAGCAACAAUGAUAGGCUAUGCAUCAGGAUAGGAUUAACGGAAAGUAGUAACAUGCUACACUACUCUAAUGCAAGCAGUAGAGAGAAGAAUAGGCGAUAUCGGAUGAUCAGGGGGGGCUUGCCUGGUUUCUCUGGCAAGAAGGAGGGGUCAUCUUCAAUGUAGUCGAACACACGGACAUCGGCAGCAGUCUCGGAGUCUACCGGAAAGAAGUAAAGAAGGGGGAACGCAAUAAAUAAUAGAGCAACCAAAUGUAACACAAAGCAAGAUGCGGCAAUACAUUGUGCUAGGGGUGACCUAACAUAGGGAUAGGUGAUACCGGCGAAGGGGGGAAACAUCCGGGAAAUAUUCCCGGUGUUUCGUGUUUUUGGACAGAUGAACCGGAGGGGGGAAGUUACGUGUACGCUAUGCUAGGGACAUGUGACGGAUGAACGGACUGCGUAUUCGAGUUCGUCUCGUCGUUCUGAGUAACUUCCAUCUACAAAGUUUUUUCAUCCGAGCUACAGUUUAUUUUCUAUGAUUUUUCGAAGUUUAAACAAUAUUAUGGAAUUCCUGAAAAUUGGCCAAGUAUGAGAAUUGUUCAGUAUUUUUUAAACUUCACUUGGUUGUUUUCCGAAGGCUAUAGCUAAUGUUAUGUAGUUCUAACGAAAACACCACAUAUUAGUGUUUUACUCUACAUCAACAGCACUACAAGGCCAUGCCAUUAGAUAGCCUGAAUAGCUACUGUAACAGGUCCAUUUACAGCUCUGAAGUAGUUAAGAUAGUAAACCUCUUUUUCAGUUUUCUCUCCUAACAGAACAUAGACUUUUGUCAUUUUUAUAGGAAUUAAUCCAUGCCAUAUUUGAAUUUGGUCCAAUGGAAUAAUUUGAAGGUUGUCAUGUGUACUCCUAACACAAAUUAAUUUCAGCGAAGUUAGACUUUGUUUGACCAUAGUUUUGUUGCCAUCCAGAGAGCUAAGAAGGUAGAAAUAGCAAAAGCUAGCUAGCCCUACAGUAACAUUCCUAUAGCAGCGGCAGCAGAGCAGCGAAACACAGCAGCAGGAGUGGCCGCAAGCGCGGGCGUGGGCACGCGCGCGGACGGACAAGGGAGGCCACGGCGGUCAGGCACAGCGGCGAGUAGGACAGGUCUUUGGCGUGGCCGGAGCACGCGGACCCGCGUUGCGGAGCAGGGCAGCGGCCUCGGUAGCGGCUACAGCAGCGCAACAGUCAGGCAGCAGCUACAGCGGAGCAGAGGGCAGCAGAGGUCAGCGAGCAGUAGGCAGGCGCCGACGCAGCACCACGGCAGCGAACGGCGGCAGAUGUGCAUGGCGCAGGGGCGCGUCUCGGGCACGCAUGGAAGCGCAUCACGCCUAGACGGGCGCUACCAGGGGCUCGCGGGCGCACACGUGGAGGUGGGCGCGGCCGUGGUGAGCACGAACUCGCACAAGCCGGGGUGGCGGUGGUGCACGGCGGCAAACAACAAUGGGAGGAAGGGGGGAAAGAGGGGGAAUCAAAAGAGGAGCUCACUGCGAGGCCGAUGGAGAGCUCGGGGAGGCCGGAGGUUGCCGGGAUGAUGCGGAUCGAACGACGGCGUCGGACAACCAUGGCGGAGGAAGAAGGCGUGAGCGUCGUGGGUGAUACUCCCCAGCCUUGAUCCAGUAGAGUAGAAGAUGGAGACGACCGCGAUGGAGCUGCAGCACAAGCUCCAAGACGGCGGGGACCGCGGUGGCCGUGGCUAAGACGACGACCAUGGCGGUUGGGUACUCGGGCGCGUCCAAAUAGAAGAUGGUGAGCGAGAGAGCGAGGGGAAUGGAGCUAGGGUGCAUGUACGGGGUGGGGAGGGUCUUAUACAGCUUGGCGGCAUGCGGGAUGGGCGACGCGUGCGGUAGCCGCGCCAUGGACGACGCACAGGCGUCCACCAUGCUCCUGUGAGCAGUAGGAAGGAGAGAACCGGGGGCCAAGUGCCCGGUAGCUUAGUUUUUUUAGAUUUUACAUUUUGUUUACUGUUUUCUUUUAUAGCUAUUGUUUUGUAUUUAGUUUAGAUAUUAAAUGAUUUUAGUUACAGUCUAAACUUCCCAUAUAAUUACCUGCUGAUAUUUUUGGUGUUGUCCAAAAAGUUUGAGGUUAUUUGGAAAUGUUUGAAAAUAGGUUUAUAUUUAAAUGGGCAUAAUAAGUGUUGCUUGUCCAAUUAAAUUAUGCCUAGGGCAAUUUAAAAAUCCAUUUAAGGUUGGUUCCUACAUGUUAAAUACUUAGUGAAUAUUUGCAAACCCUAGAACAUUUUUAUUUGACAGCUUGAAGAAAUAAGAAUUUGACUUGUUAUUUGAAAUUUGAAUUUGAGGUCGGUUUGGAACAACGUGAGGAUUAGAAAAUUUUAAUUAUGAUGACAUGGCACCAUUAACAGGAGUUCACUGUAGCAUGACACCCGGGGUGUUACAAAUCUCCUCCACUACAAGAAAUCUCGUCCCGAGAUUUAAGAGGUGGUGUAAGGGGGAAUGUUCUAGUUUCGAAAUUCUAACGAGUCUUCUUGGUCUUUGUUGUUCUUCUUGGAGAGUUCGAUCCAUUGCGUUGAUGUCUUCAUUUCUUUGCAUCAUGUCAUCAUGAUGAAGUUGGCAUCCUUUCUUCGGAAACUCCAACGUACUUACAAAAGAAUAAAGGGGUAGCUCCGGAAGAACGGAACUCUACAAGGUGGCUAUCUGGUUUAUAACUCAGGGAAUGUGAUCGAUAGUAACUCUCGGGUUGAAACUUAAGAAAAUAUCGAGAGUAAAGUAAGAAGGUAAAUAAGAAGUUUCAAGCGGGUAGGAAAUUGUUCGAUGCGUGAAACAGGGCGUGAAAGGGGUAUAGAGCAACGGGGGAAAGUAUUGCAUCUGAUACCAGAAUAGAUCACUAGGAGGUGGCUCAUGAAUUACGUACGAGGCCACGCAUGAGGAAUAAGUUUGGAAAUAGGGGGUACAAGAGAGUCAGGUUUCGAUCCCAUGGAACUGUGGGUUAUGGACCCACCAUGUGGGUUAGAAAUAGGAGGAGCGGGGAUAUAUUGCACGGUUAUGAUAGCAAGGCAUGCUAGAGAAUAGCCUGUCAGUUAUGUCGGCAGCAACAUCGAUACCAAGGGCGAGAGACAAAGAGAACCAUUCUCCUGCUCGUUGAACGAGGCGGACCAAUAGGCAAGGUUCUCAUCCAUCGCCGGUUGCCGGAAUGUCAUCGACAGUAGAAACGGGGUCUCACUGACAGAGGUGUACACUGAGGUGUUUACAUAAGCAGUGAAUUAUUACUGCUUAGAUUAUAUAGAUCACAAGAAAGGUCAAACAAACCAAUGGAAAAGAGAAUGUGAUCAUUGGGUUAAACAGAAUAAUGGAAAGGAAAAAUGUGUUUAAACACAUAUUUCAGGGGUAUAUCCUUCCCAAGGACAAACAGAGCAUGAUAUCCAUGACAGGAUAUAACAUAUAAAACCCUUUAGGAAAGGAGAGAGAAAUAUCACGACAUUACCCAUACAACGGUGUUUGGGGGUAAUUAAUAAAGAAAUUUUAGCAUUGUGCUUCAAAUGUUCUUAUUGAAAAUCGGAGUACCACAUACAUGCUUCAAGAUAGCGUUGACAUGGUCUUUAAGCAAAGGUCAUACUUUGGAUACUCAAAGGAUCCAUCAGGACCAACCCAUAGAAUAAGUGUUACAAUUUCCUCAUGAAAGAACGGAUAACCUUGCUAAAAACGAAAACUAUAACAAUGGGUCCUCCGGCACGGUGCGCUAGGCAUGACAUCGCCUUACUGGGCUAUACAAAGUCCAAUGUUACGACUUUUGGAAAAUGUCCCAACCAUCGUAUCUGACCGAGAUUCAGUUCUGAUUGGUGUCAGGAUACCUCAUACUUAGGAUACCUGAGAAGAAAAGGCGCAAUAAAAAUUGACGAGACGACAUUGUAAGAUUCUCGAUAAAUGAACUAUGGAAGCAAGUUCAAAUCAUGAGUUCAUUAUUAAAUCAAGGAGAGAAUGAGGAGGUGGCUGAUGAACUCAGUGAAAAUUCAUCGAGAUUUUCAAAAGAUGGAUUUCCACAAUUAUGUGAACAAGGAGAUAGAUUUUGUCAGAUCAAAUGAUAUAAUGAGGUAUGCUCGAGGAAAACAUACACGAUUAAACAUUGGUUGACGGUGCACCCAAAAUACGGACUUAGGUAGCAUAAUCAAUGUUAGAAUGGUGAUUCGAUAACCAAUGGUCUAAGAAUGAAAUGUCGACCAUUAACUUCAAAGCAAUAAGGUUGCUAGAAGUUUUAAAAUUACUAGUCCAUAUGUCGGUAUUCCUGUUAGGAACAACACGGGGACCAAGAAAAGAAUGGUGAUGGUGAAGUAUCACUUAUAUCAAGAAUUCUCAAGAGGUGGUGAAAUUCUCACAACAUCCUUGACAAAAAGGCAGUAAUACUUCAAGGUAGAUCAUAAUACAAAAUGGAUAUCAAGUUGCAUCCAUAACAAGAACAAGUUUGUGAUGAAAGGAAGGUAAGGAUGUUGUCGAUGGUAACUCAAAUUAACAAGGGACGAGGAUGGAACUUAUCAUCAUGAAUUCGAUUGAUAUUCUGGAAGGAGUCAAAAUGUUGAUGAUGAUUACGACAAAUUUUGUCGAGAGGCUCCAUGAAGAAGCAAUCAAACAACGACUGCAUCAAGCCAAAGGACUAAUGUAGCGAAAGAUUAUUAGAACUAUGGAUACAACAUCAACUCGGAAUCAAGCUUGUUGUUCGAGGUGAAUGAUAAGACGAGGAAGAUCAACGUAAGCUUAGCUCAUCGUCGAAAAUUGUGCUCUGAGAAUAAGGACCAGGUAGCACAGUUAAAAUCAGCACGAUAAUGAUAUAGCUGAUCAGCCUAGGAAUGACUAGAGGGAUUAUUAAACUCGUAUGCAACAAAAAUUACUUAGAGUUAUGGAAUCGGAGUGUGGAAUUGAUUCACUUAUCGGUGUUCUCGAGUGAAUAAAAACUCAGAACUUGGGGGAAAAUUGGAAUCGGUGAGAAAUAACAAGUGAUGAAGAACUCAUAAGGGGAGAUGUAGUUCUGUGAUAUUCUCGAGAUACCAGAGGGUAAAACUCGAAGGUAGAACAGAGUAGAGGUCGGACAAGUGAAAUGAUCUGCAGAAGACAAGUACUUUAACUUGUCCGAGAAAUGGAAUCAAAGGAUAACAAUCAUGGUUGGAACCAUGGUUGCAAAUGACCAAACAUAGAUACCAGAUGAACUAAUAACAAGGGGACAAUUAGUUAUUUAAGAGAAGCUUCCAUGAUAAGAUCUACAUCGUGUCCAUGGGCAUGAACGCAAAGUUCAAGGUCGACUCCCACUUCUUCAAUGCAUAACCUUCCAUUCACUUCUUGCUUUCAAUGAAGUUGUGGUGUUGAAAUUAUAUCUGACAAAACACCAGAAUAGUAUGACUCGUGAAAACUCUCGGGUUCACACGGAUUAGGGAAGGCAUAGGUUCAACCCAUAGGGGCAUCAUAGGAACAUAUACCACAAACUUAAAUAGUAAAUAACACAAGCUCGAAAGUAGAACAUGGUUGACAAAAGGAGAGGAUACAAUUUACCAAAAGCAUUAUGUAUCAGGGAAGAGCUCACAAGGUGAUUAAAUAUGAGGGCACUAUCGGAUAAUAAUCCAACAAAGGAUCUGGUGGUCCAGAAGGGAUCUGACGUGAGUAUCAAUGUUCAACCACAAGAAGUAAUGCAAGGGCAUUAGAUUAUAGAAAUAUCUAGAUAACUUCAAUGCUUAGAUACAAAGGAAUUAUUAUUUCCAAAUCGGGGAAUCAGAAGCAGAGGUUCUGAUCAAAAGAUAAUUAAGUUGAAUAGUCAUAGGUCGACAAUCAAUCAAGGUUUGAUUUGCCGAGAACCAACUCAUGUCCGGCGUGACGUCUGAGGUCGGAAGAACAAAUUCUAGGUAUCAACUAUUGAUUGAGUGUGUUCGCACACAUGAUGAAUUAAUGGGGUCGGAAUUUCAAUGACAAAUGAUGUCAACGAAGAUUACAAGUCAUAUGGAAUUAACCAUAAUGCAGGAAGGCAAUAAUUUCAAGAGCCAUAGGCUGCAGAGGAUUCUCAAAAGAUUGAGUAGUAUUUCGAAGAAUUUUGUGAAGCACUUGGACAACUGGGGAUGGACGGAUCCCCGGUAAGUGCGUGGAAUUGUUCGUGUGGAUGUUAAUAUGGAAAAGAGCUGCAAAAGCAGUAGGCACAAAGGAUUCUCGGAAUAUCGGAGAAAUUUUCAGGGUAUGAAGUAAUAACAAGGGAAUCUAGGAACGAAGGUAUAAACGGCAAGUGUAAGUAGUUAUCCAUAAGGAUUUAUCGGUGGUUGGGAUAGCAAAAGCGGUGGGCACAAAGUCUCGAGAGACAUCGGAGAGUAUCUUCGGAAUCUUCUGGUGCGCCAAGUAAUCAUCUGGAGUGAGGGGCUCUCUGAGAGGAAGUAGUUACGAGAACCUAGAGUCAGAGUUAGUAAAAUCAUUUAACCCGAAUAGAAGAGAGAUCAGAGUCCCAAAGUAUAGGAGAGGAAUAAAAGAUCCUAAUACCACCCAAUGGCGACAUGGGCUCGAGCCGCACAACCAUGUUAGUAAAAGUUUUGCAAUGUCUAGACUCGACUUCAGCCAAGGAGUUUGGAAGGGGGAUUCCUACAGGCAGUCGGCUCUGAUACCAACUUGUGACGCCCCCGAUUCAAUCAUACACUAAUCAUACACGCAAACAUGUACGAUCAAGAUCAGGGACUCACGGGAAGAUAUCACAACACAACUCUAAAAAUAAAAUAAGUCAUACAAGCAUCAUAUUACAAGUCAGGGGCCUCGAGGGCUCGAAUACAAGAGCUCGAUGAUAGACGAGUUAGUGGAAGCAACAAUAUCUGAGUACAGACAUAAGUUAAACAAGUUUGCCUUAAGAAGGCUAGCAUAAACUGGGAUACAUAUCGAAAGAGGUGUAGGCCUCCUGCCAGGGAUCCUCCUAAACUACUCCUGGUCGUCGUCAGCAGCCUACACGUAGUAGUAGGCACCUCCAAUGUAGUAGAAGUGGUCAUCGACGGUGGUAUCUGGCUCCUGGAUUCCAUCGUCUGGUCGCAACAAUCGGGUAUAGAAAGGGGAAAAGGGGGAGCAAAGCAACCGUGAGUACUCAUCCAAAGUACUCGCAAGCAAGGAGCU